UACGUAGGGGCCAAGCGUUGUCCGGAUUUAUUGGGCGUAAAGAGCUCGUAGGCGGUGUGUCACGUCGGCCGUGAAAACCUGCAGCUUAACUGUGGGCGUGCGGUCGAUACGGGCAUCACUGGAGUUCGGCAGGGGAGACUGGAAUUCCUGGUGUAGCGGUGAAAUGCGCAGAUAUCAGGAGGAACACCGGUGACGAAGGCGGGUCUCUGGGCCGAUACUGACGCUGAGGAGCGAAAGCGUGGGGAGCAAACAGG
RNAcentral lists this ribosomal RNA (254 nucleotides) under uncultured bacterium. RNAcentral's name for it is "partial 16S ribosomal RNA". It matches the Rfam family "Bacterial small subunit ribosomal RNA", at positions 524 to 776 of the family's 1533-position model. The record is from RNAcentral.